This 504-nucleotide ribosomal RNA is filed under the name uncultured bacterium. RNAcentral's name for it is "partial 16S ribosomal RNA". It matches the Rfam family "Bacterial small subunit ribosomal RNA", at positions 30 to 523 of the family's 1533-position model. The record is from RNAcentral.
AUUGAACGCUGGCGGCAGGCCUAACACAUGCAAGUCGAACGGUAGCACAGAGAGCUUGCUCUCGGGUGACGAGUGGCGGACGGGUGAGUAACGUCUGGGAAACUGCCCGAUGGAGGGAGAUAACUACUGGAAACGGUAGCUAAUACCGCAUAACGUCGCAAGACCAAAGUGGGGGACCUUCGGGCCUCACACCAUCGGAUGUGCCCAGAUGGGAUUAGCUAGUAGGUGGGGUAAUGGCUCACCUAGGCGACAAUCCAUAGCUGGUCUGAGAGGAUGACCAGCCACACUGGAACUGAGACACGGUCCAGACUCCUACGGGAGGCAGCAGUGGGGAAUAUUGCACAAUGGGCGCAAGCCUGAUGCAGCCAUGCCGCGUGUAUGAAGAAGGCCUUCGGGUUGUAAAGUACUUUCAGCGGGGAGGAAGGCGGUGAAGUUAAUAGCUUCACCGAUUGACGUUACCCGCAGAAGAAGCACCGGCUAACCCUGUGCCAGCCGCCGCCGUAA